UCGCGGCUUAUCACCGGCAGUCCUGUUAGAGUUCCCAACUAAAUGAUGGCAACUAAAGACGAGGGUUGCGCUCGUUGCGGGACUUAACCCAACAUCUCACGACACGAGCUGACGACAGCCAUGCAGCACCUGUCACUCAUCCAGCCGAACUGAAGGAAACCAUCUCUGGAAUCCGCGAUGAGGAUGUCAAACGCUGGUAAGGUUCUGCGCGUUGCUUCGAAUUAAUCCACAUAAUCCACCGCUUGUGCGGGUCCCCGUCAAUUCCUUUGAGUUUUAACCUUGCGGCCGUACUCCCCAGGCGGUCGACUUCACGCGUUAGCUUCGUUACUGAGAGUGUCAAACCCCCAACAACCAGUCGACAUCGUUUAGGGCGUGGACUAC
This 381-nucleotide unclassified non-coding RNA is filed under the name uncultured Pseudomonadota bacterium. RNAcentral describes it as "uncultured proteobacterium contains 16S-23S intergenic spacer region". The record is from RNAcentral. Lineage: Bacteria; Pseudomonadati; Pseudomonadota.